This 406-nucleotide ribosomal RNA is filed under the name Blastocystis sp. RNAcentral's name for it is "SSU rRNA". It matches the Rfam family "Eukaryotic small subunit ribosomal RNA", at positions 573 to 989 of the family's 1831-position model. The record is from RNAcentral. Lineage: Eukaryota; Bigyra; Opalinata; Blastocystidae.
GCCGCGGUAAUUCCGGCUCCAAUAGCGUAUAUUAACGUUGUUGCAGUUAAAAAGCUCGUAGUUGAAGUGUGGGUGAUCGCUGUUGUGAGACUUCGGUCUCUCGACAGUAAGUCACCCCCUUCCAGUAUCCAGUAGUGGGUAUUCAGUUACUUACUAUUGUGUGUUGGUCAUUUACUGUGAGAAAAUUAGAGUGUUCAAAGCAGGCGUUUGCUUGAAUAGAUUAGCAUGGAAUAAUAAUUGAAGGCUUUCGUGUUCGAUUUGAUUGGUUUGUUCAUGGAAGCAAGGUUAAAAGGAACAGUUGGGGGUAUUCAUAUUCACUAGUUAGAGGUGAAAUUCUCGGAUUUAUGGAAGAUGAACAAGUGCGAAAGCAUUUACCAAGGAUGUUUUCAUUAAUCAAGAACGAAAG